RNAcentral lists this ribosomal RNA (273 nucleotides) under uncultured bacterium. RNAcentral describes it as "partial 16S ribosomal RNA". It matches the Rfam family "Bacterial small subunit ribosomal RNA", at positions 523 to 796 of the family's 1533-position model. The record is from RNAcentral.
AUACGGAGGGUGCAAGCGUUAUUCGGAAUCACUGGGCGUAAAGGACGCGUAGGCGGGUUGGCAAGUCAGAUGUGAAAUCCUACAGCUUAACUGUAGAACUGCAUUUGAAACUGCUAACCUAGAGUAUGGGAGGGGGAGAUGGAAUUAGUGUGUAGGGGUAAAAUCCGUAGAUAUCACUAGGAAUACCGAAAGCGAAGGCGAUCUCCUGGAACAUAACUGACGCUAAGGCGUGAAAGCGUGGAGAGCAAACAGGAUUAGAAACCCUUGUAGUCC